AUGGCUCAGGGUGAUGGAGUUCCACCUGCUAACCGCUCCCAUAGCUGAUUCACAUAGCUUUGGCAGCUGAUGACUCCUGUGUAUUG
Molecule: non-coding RNA, 86 nt
Filed under: Endozoicomonas montiporae
Lineage: Bacteria; Pseudomonadati; Pseudomonadota; Gammaproteobacteria; Oceanospirillales; Endozoicomonadaceae
Description: Fluoride sequence
Rfam family: Fluoride riboswitch aptamer (crcB RNA motif)
Source: Rfam by way of RNAcentral